This 292-nucleotide ribosomal RNA is filed under the name uncultured bacterium. RNAcentral describes it as "partial 16S ribosomal RNA". The record is from RNAcentral.
GGACUACACGGGUUUCUAAUCCCUUUUGCUCCCCUAGCUUUCGUUCCUCAGCGUCAGUUAUGGCCCAGUCAAGCGCUUUCGCCACCGGUGUUCCUCCAGAUAUCUACGCAUUUCACCGCUACACCUGGAAUUCCCUUGACCUCUGCCACACUCUAGCCAUACAGUUUCCAAUGCCAUGCCGACGUUGAGCGCCAGUAUUUAACACCAGACUUACAUAACCGCCUACGAACUCUUUACGCCCAAUAAUUCCGGACAACGCUUGCAUCCUACGUCUUACCGCGGCGGCUGGCAC